Molecule: long non-coding RNA, 1403 nt
Organism: Corvus hawaiiensis (hawaiian crow)
Lineage: Eukaryota; Metazoa; Chordata; Aves; Passeriformes; Corvidae
Exons: 2
Source: RefSeq, a predicted model, not a curated record
CAUUGAUUGAGGCUUCCUCUAAGUGAAUGAGAGCAUUUGCAGACCUCAGAAACCAGUUUGUCUCUGAACAAUAGAAAGACUUGUUAAAUGGGAAUCUAAGUAAAAAGAAGAAUUACUGUAAGAAAAGAGAUGUUGAAGACUGACAGCUCUUCUGUUGUUUUGACAGAAAUACCUUGUGGAUGACCUGAACAUUUGUUUUGAACCACAAUACUGGCUUGAGAAUGGCUUCCAGCAGACCUGGAAAAUACUCAUUCUGCAGAUGAGCUCCUGGUUAUUCUCAUAUCAUUCUGGACUGCACUGAAAAGCAUAUUUUCGUGGACGCUCAACUUCCCAAUCUAUUGUCCAGUUUCAGUUAUGUUGGAUAAAAGAUCAAAAGUCUCAGGAAGAACCAGACAUAGAUCCUACAGACUCCACAGAAGCUGCAGGCUACAGAGAAGACACUGUGGUCCAAAUACCCACAGGCUUACCUCAGCCAUUUGUGGGACUUGAAAGAGAUGUGGUGUCAAAUGGUUGCCUGCACACUGCUGCCAACCUACUCUGCAGGAAGAGAUUGUAUGUAUGUGCAGGGAUAACAGAAAAUCUUACUAUAAUUCAGUCCUAAAGCCAAUCAAGCAAGAGACAUAAAUCUGUGGACAACUAGGUUUUGAAAGAACAGGUGCUUGCAAAACCGAUUGUUACCUAAUUGAAUUUUGUAUCCAUUCUUGACAUGUUGUUAAUAAUCUCCAUAUGAACGUUUAUGAUCUGCCUGAAUCUACAGACCUAAACCAGUAACUCAAAAUGCAUAGGAGAAAGUGAUUAUGUCAGCACCGCAUGUUCCUCCUGGUGGUGUGCUGGAGACUAAACUCUUUAGUCAAGGUAACCCAGCUGGCUUUUCUUCCUGUGACUCAAACGGGAGCUUCAUCUAUGAAGUGUUACAGUGGGCAGCGAAAGUAUUAGUAGUAGCUCAGCAGGGAACUUCAGCCCUGAAUUGAAGUUAUCAAAACCAAUGAGCAUGUUCUUAAAUGUGUGCUUAGGAGUUUGGCUAAACUAGGUAAUGGUCUUGAUUAUGACCUAAAAAAGCUACGACUCAAUUAAAAAAAAAAAAAGUCAGAUUUAUUCAAGUUAUGGGUAGUUUGGCCUGGAUUAACAAUUAAGGUUUAGUCCUUAGUUUGAAAAGAAAUAUACAGCUUGCAUUGCUUGUUAUUGGACUUGGAUUUAUCUGAAAGGAUUCAUUUAUGUGAAAGCGCAUAUCUUAUUUGUGGAAAAAUCUCGAAAUAAUAAUGAAGGCAAAAUUACUACUGACUUCAGAAAGUCAACAUUUUUAAUUGCUUCAUACCAAUAUUCAAUGAUUUUGCUGGCUCACUAUGGAUGUCUUCUGAAAAGGGAGAAAUUAAAGGUUUCAUGUUUACUUUCACUAACCCUAA